UUCCGUAGGGUGAACCUGCGGAAGGAUCAUUACCUAGAGUUGUAGGCUUUGCCUGCUAUCUCUUACCCAUGUCUUUUGAGUACCUUACGUUUCCUCGGUGGGUUCGCCCACCGAUUGGACAAAUUUAAACCCUUUGCAGUUGAAAUCAGCGUCUGAAAAAACUUAAUAGUUACAACUUUCAACAACGGAUCUCUUGGUUCUGGCAUCGAUGAAGAACGCAGCGAAAUGCGAUAAGUAGUGUGAAUUGCAGAAUUCAGUGAAUCAUCGAAUCUUUGAACGCACAUUGCGCCCCUUGGUAUUCCAUGGGGCAUGCCUGUUCGAGCGUCAUUUGUACCUUCAAGCUCUGCUUGGUGUUGGGUGUUUGUCUCCUGUAGACUCGCCUCAAAACAAUUGGCAGCCGGCGUAUUGAUUUCGGAGCGCAGUACAUCUCGCGCUUUGCACUCAUAACGACGACAUCCAAAAGUACAUUUUUACACUCUGACCUCGGAUCAGGUAGU
This 497-nucleotide ribosomal RNA is filed under the name Phoma sp. DX-FOS4. RNAcentral describes it as "eukaryotic LSU rRNA". The stretch from base 174 to 327 matches the Rfam family "5.8S ribosomal RNA". The record is from RNAcentral. Lineage: Eukaryota; Fungi; Ascomycota; Dothideomycetes; Pleosporales; Didymellaceae.